RNAcentral lists this microRNA precursor (250 nucleotides) under Oryza barthii. Its description in RNAcentral is "MIR812 microRNA precursor family". It matches the Rfam family "MIR812 microRNA precursor family". Lineage: Eukaryota; Viridiplantae; Streptophyta; Magnoliopsida; Poales; Poaceae. The record is from Rfam by way of RNAcentral.
UUUAAGCGCAGCCAUGAGUUUUCGUGUCUAACUUUGAUCGUCCAUUUUAUUUAAAAUAUUUUUAUGAUUAAUAUUUUUUUAUUAUUAAAAGAUAAAACAUGAAUAAUCCUUUUUUUAUUGUACAUGAAUAAUCCUUUUUUUUAUUGUACAUGAAUAAUCCUUUAGUGGUGACUUAUGUUUUUAAUUUUUUUAAAAAAACCAGAUAAGAUAAACGAUUAAAGUUAGAAAAAAAAAUAUUGUUGCGCGAAGG